Molecule: ribosomal RNA, 429 nt
Filed under: bacterium enrichment culture clone ALO1_GLFRUDD03HFOE4
Lineage: Bacteria
Description: bacterial SSU rRNA
Rfam family: Bacterial small subunit ribosomal RNA
Source: RNAcentral
GAGUUUGAUCUUGGCUCAGAUUGAACGCUGGCGGCAUGCCUUACACAUGCAAGUCGAACGGCAGCACGGGAGCUUGCUCCUGGUGGCGAGUGGCGAACGGGUGAGUAAUGCAUCGGAACGUAUCCUGGAGUGGGGGAUAACGUAGCGAAAGUUACGCUAAUACCGCAUAUUCUGUGAGCAGGAAAGCGGGGGACCUUCGGGCCUCGCGCUCUUGGAGCGGCCGAUGUCGGAUUAGCUAGUUGGUGAGGUAAAGGCUCACCAAGGCGACGAUCCGUAGCAGGUCUGAGAGGAUGGUCUGCCACACUGGAACUGAGACACGGUCCAGACUCCUACGGGAGGCAGCAGUGGGGAAUUUUGGACAAUGGGGGCAACCCUGAUCCAGCCAUGCCGCGUGAGUGAAGAAGGCCUCGGUGUAAGACGUCUUCGUCG